ACUAUCGGUGGUUCAGUGGUAGAAUGCUCGCCUGCCACCUAGGCGGCCCGGGUUCGAUUCCCGGCUGAUGCA
This is a non-coding RNA of Cordylochernes scorpioides, 72 nucleotides long. The record is from the annotation of a GenBank genome assembly. Lineage: Eukaryota; Metazoa; Arthropoda; Arachnida; Pseudoscorpiones; Chernetidae.